UCCUGGCUCAGGAUGAACGCUGGCGGCGUGCUUAACACAUGCAAGUCGAACGAAGAUGCCGGAGUGCUUGCACUUUGGCAGACUGAGUGGCGGACGGGUGAGUAACGCGUGGGUAACCUGCCUUAUACAGGGGGAUAACAGUUGGAAACGACUGCUAAUACCGCAUAAGCGCACGGUAUCGCAUGAUACAGUGUGAAAAACUCCGGUGGUAUAAGAUGGACCCGCGUCUGAUUAGCUUGUUGGUGAGGUAACGGCCCACCAAGGCGACGAUCAGUAGCCGGCCUGAGAGGGUGAACGGCCACAUUGGGACUGAGACACGGCCCAAACUCCUACGGGAGGCAGCAGUGGGGAAUAUUGCACAAUGGGGGAAACCCUGAUGCAGCGACGCCGCGUGAGUGAUGAAGUAUUUCGGUAUGUAAAACUCUAUCAGCAGGGAAGAUAAUGACGGUACCUGACUAAGAAGCACCGGCUAAAUACGUGCCAGCAGCCGCGGUAAUACGUAUGGUGCAAGCGUUAUCCGGAUUUACUGGGUGUAAAGGGUGCGUAGGUGGUAUGGCAAGUCAGAAGUGAAAGGCUGGGGCUCAACCCCGGGACUGCUUUUGAAACUGUCAAACUAGAGUACAGGAGAGGAAAGCGGAAUUCCUAGUGUAGCGGUGAAAUGCGUAGAUAUUAGGAGGAACACCAGUGGCGAAGGCGGCUUUCUGGACUGAAACUGACGCUGAGGCGCGAAAGCGUGGGGAGCAAACAGGAUUAGAUACCCUGGUAGUCCACGCGGUAAACGAUGAAUGCUAAGGUGUAGGAGGUAUCGACCCCUUCUGUGCAGCAGUAAACACAAUAAGCAUUCCGCCUGGGGAGUACGGCCGCAAAGGUUGAAACUCAAAGGAAUUGACGGGGGCCCGCACAAGCAGUGGAGUAUGUGGUUUAAUUCGACGCAACGCGAAGAACCUUACCAAGUCUUGACAUCCUGCGACGCACAUAGAAAUAUGUGUUUCCUUCGGGACGCAGAGACAGGUGGUGCAUGGUUGUCGUCAGCUCGUGUCGUGAGAUGUUGGGUUAAGUCCCGCAACGAGCGCAACCCUUAUGGUCAGUUACUACGCAAGAGGACUCUGGCCAGACUGCCGUUGACAAAACGGAGGAAGGUGGGGAUGACGUCAAAUCAUCAUGCCCUUUAUGACUUGGGCUACACACGUACUACAAUGGCGUUAAACAAAGAGAAGCAAGACCGCGAGGUGGAGCAAAACUCAGAAACAACGUCCCAGUUCGGACAGCAGGCUGCAACUCGCCUGCACGAAGUCGGAAUUGCUAGUAAUCGCAGAUCAGCAUGCUGCGGU
RNAcentral lists this ribosomal RNA (1331 nucleotides) under uncultured bacterium. Its description in RNAcentral is "partial 16S ribosomal RNA". It matches the Rfam family "Bacterial small subunit ribosomal RNA", at positions 17 to 1363 of the family's 1533-position model. The record is from RNAcentral.